Gossypium raimondii (Peruvian cotton) is the source of this 1135-nucleotide long non-coding RNA. RefSeq lists it as uncharacterized. The transcript is spliced from 5 exons. The record is from RefSeq and is a predicted model, not a curated record. NCBI's taxonomy places the organism in Eukaryota, Viridiplantae, Streptophyta, Magnoliopsida, Malvales, Malvaceae.
AACUUAUUAGCAUUAAUUAUAGGCUCAGCAGAUAUCUCUUUCCCCAACAGGCUAAAAUCAUUAUCCUUUUUCCAAAGCCUUCAACGUAGAUCUCGACGAUUUCUUUCCUUGAUUAAUCUUUCCCAGAGUUUUUGGCUUCCUUGAUUGACGCUUAGACUUACGGUCCACCAGCAUCCAGGGCCCAAAGGCUCUGGUUUCGCCACCGUAACGGUAACAACACUUUCCUUCUCCGACGUCGUGUUUUUCCUUACCCGUAGCUUUCCUUGAAGUGACUGUAACGGUCACAAGAGAAACAAACGACUAGCAGAGAUUCAUAUUCAAUACGUUGAAUAUUUCCAUUAAUCAAAACCUUAGAGAUCAAGGGCUUUUACAGCUUAGCAUACACUACCAUACGGGCAUAUCGGCCUCUCGCUUUAUUAUUCGUGUUGAUUUGGCGGUGAAGCUUUCGUCCCUUAAACUGGCCAAGGACAUUCUCUCCUCUCUCGAUUCUUCUUCCGUCGCUGGACUCUUCCCCAACCUUUCCGACCUCCGGCGUUCUCCUCAUAGCCUCGUUAAGAGAUUUCUUGUCGAGUUAACUACAUCAAUGCAAUGCAACUUCUACUCUUGCUGGUGACCUAGUUGAGAUCGAUGCUAUUAAAAAGGUAUUCAAGAAUACAUCAGACAUCAAAAUCAAUGCAUCAAAUGGAAUUGUCUGGGCGCAUCGAGUGGUUUAGAAGCCAUUGCCACAAGAUGGUUGCAUCCCUCGAUAAAUCAAUUUAAUCCAGAGCCUUUAGUUGAGUUUGACACUGUGGCCAACCAAAAGAAACAACACGAAGUUAAUGUUGAUGAUGAAGCAAAGGCACAAAGUGGAGAGAGAAGCAAACAUUAACCCAAAAUUGGAUGGUCGAAGAAUCAGGAAACUGAAAAGACUAAUCCAAAGCUUGCAGCCAUGAACAAGAAAUUUGGAAUGAUUCAUGGGUUAUCUUCACUUGCAAGAAUUUUCAGACUCAUUUGUUUACUUCUGUACAUUGGGUUGAAUGUUAGUUGUAUACAUUUCGACUAAAUGUUAAUGUAUUUUGAUUGUUGGAUCGAUUUUUGUAGUGAAUAUUCAAUCUUUAUUUUAAUUUUAUAUUUUUUAGUUGGAUUUAAAGCAUAA